Molecule: small nuclear RNA, 108 nt
Organism: Octodon degus (degu)
Lineage: Eukaryota; Metazoa; Chordata; Mammalia; Rodentia; Octodontidae
Source: Ensembl
GUGCUUGCUUCAACAGCGCAUAUACUAAAAUUGGAAUGAUACAGAGAAGAUUAGCAUGGCCCCUGUGCAAGGAUAACACAUAAAAUAAGCUCAGAGUAGAGCCUUGCU